AACGAACGCUGGUGGCAUGCCUAAUACAUGCAAGUCGAACGAGAUCUUCGGAUCUAGUGGCGCACGGGUGCGUAACGCGUGGGAAUCUGCCCUUGGGUUCGGAAUAACUUCUGGAAACGGAAGCUAAUACCGGAUGAUGACGUAAGUCCAAAGAUUUAUCGCCCAAGGAUGAGCCCGCGUAGGAUUAGCUAGUUGGUGGGGUAAAGGCCCACCAAGGCGACGAUCCUUAGCUGGUCUGAGAGGAUGAUCAGCCACACUGGGACUGAGACACGGCCCAGACUCCUACGGGAGGCAGCAGUAGGGAAUAUUGGACAAUGGGGGAAACCCUGAUCCAGCAAUGCCGCGUGAGUGAUGAAGGCCUUAGGGUUGUAAAGCUCUUUUACCCGGGAUGAUAAUGACAGUACCGGGAGAAUAAGCUCCGGCUAACUCCGUG
This 433-nucleotide ribosomal RNA is filed under the name uncultured bacterium. Its description in RNAcentral is "partial 16S ribosomal RNA". It matches the Rfam family "Bacterial small subunit ribosomal RNA", at positions 29 to 507 of the family's 1533-position model. The record is from RNAcentral.